RNAcentral lists this ribosomal RNA (253 nucleotides) under uncultured bacterium. Its description in RNAcentral is "partial 16S ribosomal RNA". It matches the Rfam family "Bacterial small subunit ribosomal RNA", at positions 524 to 776 of the family's 1533-position model. The record is from RNAcentral.
UACGAAGGGGGCUAGCGUUGCUCGGAAUCACUGGGCGUAAAGGGUGCGUAGGCGGGUUUUUAAGUCAGGGGGGAAAUCCUGGAGCUCAACUCCAGAACUGCCUUUGAUACUGAAGAUCUUGAGUCCGGGAGAGGUGAGUGGAACUGCGAGUGUAGUGGUGAAAUUCGUAGAUAUUCGCAAGAACACCAGUGGCGAAGGCGGCUCACUGGCCCGGUACUGACGCUGAGGCACGAAAGCGUGGGGAGCAAACAGG